ACGAGUAUGCAACUAUGUCAAACUCAUAUACGUCAGGUCAAAGUGCAGCUAAUGAAAGGGGCGACGAUGGGUUACACCCUAAAUAAAGAUACGAAAUAUGGCACCAAAAGCCACAUGAAGGUGGACUUGGACGUAACAAAAAUACAAAAUUAAAAUGAAAACGAAUCUGAGACAUGCACACAUCGCCCGUCACUCUUGCCCAAAGGUGAGAUAAGUCGUAACAAAGUAGGUGUAACGGAAGUUGCACCUGU
This 251-nucleotide ribosomal RNA is filed under the name Aporrectodea trapezoides. RNAcentral describes it as "partial 12S ribosomal RNA". Lineage: Eukaryota; Metazoa; Annelida; Clitellata; Crassiclitellata; Lumbricidae. The record is from RNAcentral.